GAGAUACUAGUAAAACAAUUACAUAGUCUUGUCAAGACUAAAUUACAGGUGAAACCCCAGUGUAUCUCCACACCCAACC
Molecule: non-coding RNA, 79 nt
Organism: Lonchura striata (white-rumped munia)
Lineage: Eukaryota; Metazoa; Chordata; Aves; Passeriformes; Estrildidae
Source: Ensembl